CACAGGAUUUGUCUUCAUCUUGCUGCUCCACCAUCCCAGCAUCUCUGCACAAAACCUGUCCAACUGCUAUCUCUUGCUGCUCUGCACAUUACUCCAAAUCAUUCACAAAAAUGAGCACACAAACCUGCAUCAGUGAAAGCACGAAGAAGACUUACUAAAUAAGUUCAAAUCAGUUUCAAUUUUCCCUUCGGUCCCUCAAAACCUCACUCAAUCUCACUCAGCGAUACACACCCCAUACGAAUCUGAGUCACACACAAAACAACAAAUACAGCACAACCUGCAAAGAAACUCUCAACUUUCACCUCAACGUUCAACCACAACUCACCCUCAACAGCAAUAAUCGAACCUACAGCCUCACCAACAAACACACGAAACUUCACCUCCCUCAAACACAUCGCACCACACCACUCUACAGUAGUCACACACGAACUGCACACAAAACGCAUAGAAAUCCAGAAGCGAGAAGGACGACCAAGAAGAAAAGAGUCAAGGGCGCUUACCUGAAGGUGUUGAAUCCGCUCCAUCGAGGAUCGGGGAUUUAGGAUUUUUGUUGUUGCUCGGGAGGAGGCUUAAGAGUCGACAGAUCUUCAUAUCUUCAUUCGUUUCGGUUGUCCCUUAUUGCCUUGAUCAAUCUUGUCCAGCUGGAUGGGCAAAAGUAUCCGUCUGAACUCCGUGGAGCAGUUAAUCAUUUCCUUCAGAAUAACAAAUCACAUUCAAAGAAAGACGAUUCACUGUAUAAGAUUUUAUGCAAGAUGUUGGAUGGUAAUCUGGAUUCACCAUCUGAUAUCUCAGAGUCUAAAGUUUGGUUUGCCUUGUAUCAUCCAAAGGUAGUACCACCCAUUAACUUUCUAUUGAAUUUCAGUGUCUAUAAUCAUGAAGUGUGAAUGGUCAUCAAUUUUCUGUUAGUAUUUAUGAGCUUCAUUCUUAUUUGAUAUGGUAUAGGCUGAUGUUAGACGAACUACACUGUGUGAUAAUCAUGUUGCCUCCGAGUCGUGUUUUCUUUCUUUUUCAAGAAAUGCACAAACCCUAAAAACAUGUUGCCUUUAAAUUGUGUGUUUUCUCUCUCAAUGAAUUCCAUUUCGUUUCUCAUAGUUCUUGUAAUACCCUACCAAUAUGCGUCUAGAAUCAUAUCAGUAAAAUAUUAAUAACUGGUACUGAGUACAAACAAAAGCUAGGAAUAAUGAUAUAAAUUGCAUACAUUUAUAAAUCAUCUCGAAGAUGGAUACAACGAAUAUGUCUACACAGUAAUAAUAAUAUACGGCGGAAGAAAAGAUUAGGCACGGUCUUCACGACAUCCGAAACCAUGGAAUCAACUCCGAAUCGCAUCACACGAUUCGAAUCCUCAAUAAUAUGGACCGUAGGGAAACAUGGAUUCUCAUCGAAUUGCAUCGCACAAUUCAACUCAUCAAACCCAUGGAAUCAACUCCGAAUCGCAUCACACGAUUCGAAUCCUCAAUAAUAUGGACCGUAGGGAAACAUGGAUUCUCAUCGAAUUGCAUCGCACAAUUCAACUCAUCAAACCCAUGGAAUCAACUCCAAAUCGCAUCACACGAUUCGAAUCCUCAAUAAUGAGAACGAUAAGGGGAAGGUAUUGGUUCGCAUCCCCGGGAGUUCAUCCCCGAAGAAUACUCCUGAACUACAGAGCACCAAUCAAUCCCGAGCGUCACACCCGAGAAGGACCUUCAUAUAUGGCCUGGGAGCAUCCUUGGACAUCGCAUCACAAGGACAACCACAUAUAAGUAACAAGCAUCGCACCGGUUACUACCCUCAUGCCCAUUAUGUAACCCUUCGCCAUGGCACAGCCUUGUUAGUUGACCUCCGUUAAUCCUUCAUAAUAUACAUUCUAAGGAUUACCUCGCCAUUAUGGUUAUUGAGUAAACAUCCUCUUAACACUUAUGUUAAUUGUAUAACCUUUCAUCUCUUGGUCCAUAUAACUCAAUCUGUCAUUACAUGACUUAAUUAUCUUUAAUUAAUCAUGUAUUAUACUUAGGUUAGUUUAUAUAAACCCAAGAGUCAAUCAUACAUGUAACAUACUAAUAUUUCACCAAGUUUUACUUUAUUAAACAAGAUACAAAAUAUACAUUUGGAUUUUAGUAAUAUUUAGAAGUAUGAUAGAGUUAUGGAAGCUUAGGCAUCUCAUAGCCCUUUCUGUUAGCUUUCCAACGAUAUAAAAUUUGCGUCAAUCGGAUAUACGAUGCAAAAGUUAUGAAUUUAUGAAGUUUCGAAAAAGCUGCCCAAACAGUGAUGUAACGGGUUACAUGAAUCAUGUAACCGGUUACAUGGCCCAAAAAUUGCGUUUUCCCCCCUUUUUCACACAUGUAACCGGUUACAUCAACCAUGUAACCGGUUACAUCGCUUACAGACCCAAAAAUUCUGCAUUUUAGGAGUUCUAAACCAGACCCAAACCCCUCUAAUUGAUUCCCAGCAUCAUAAUUUAAUCCCAAACGAAUUUACAACAUGCAAUAGUGAUCUAAUGUACAUAUUACAUACAUAAAACACAAUCUCAUCAUUAAAUCAAACAUGCAUCAAGUUAGCUCACACUAAAACCCUUAACAUACAAAUUCUUCCCCAAAUUCUACCCAAGGUUUCUAAUCUAAUGGAACUCACCUUGAAUAGGGAAGAGAUUCUGAAUUCCAAGCUUAGAAGGAGAUGACGAUGAAGACCAAUUCUGACUUGGGAGAUGAAGGAGAAGAUGAUGCACUUGAUCAUGGUUCUUUCUCCAAAAUCACCUAACUCCUCAUACAUGCAUCCAUGGAGAAAUAAUUUGAUGCCUCUUCUUCCUUUCCCUUCCUUUCACGUUUUCUCUCUAUCUUUCCCCCAAAAUUCUGAUUUUGCUAAGGCAAGAAUGAGUCAUUUCCACCAAACUAGUCUUUAAGUUCCUAUUUAAGUAGUGGAAUGACCACACUACCCUUCAACCAUGACAUAAUUACCAAGGUGCCAUCUAGUUCAAUUCUAACCAAUCCUUAGAAUUUCUAACAACUUCUCUUAAUAACUAUUAACUAUCCAUAGGUCUCAUGCUUAGAGAAAUAAGGUUGUUACAGUUCUUUCGCUAGUCUUUUCUGUUAUCGAAGCUUUUAAUCACUAUAUUUUGGUUCAAACAUGGAGUCCCACUUCUUGUCGAGAUUUGCCUUGCAUUAUUCCCCCAGUGGAGAAUCAUUUUCAUCUACACGGAUUAUGGCCGAAGGAACUCCAUGACCCUUCUCAACCUGCAUAUCGUGGACCGGGAAACAUCGAUGGUCAACUUUCCAAGGGGCUCACGGCAAUGAGCACCUUGAAGAUACUCUCAACUUGAUAUGGUCUUUCGUGACUCCCUCGGGUUUCAGUGGUGUAGAUCAUGCUACAUAAAAUUAUUUCAAGUACUAAUGAGGAUUCUCUCCUGCAAAACCACUAAACUUUACCAACAAGUGUAUCUUGCUAGAUUUAAGCUCAAAUAGUACAGUCAGGUAGGUUAUUCUCAAUACACAAUGCUUGAUAAGUGACAUUAGGUAUAUCUAGCUCUAUUGUAGAUCUUUGAGGUUCAUCCAUAUUAUCCAUAUUAUGAUUAGUAAAUUCAGUAUUAGAAUCAAAUAAAAUAUGAUUGAACAACAACACAAUAUUCCAACAGUGACCCUUUUACUCAAAGCAAAGUGGAAAAUGAAAAAAAAAACGAUUAAAAUUAAAUAUAAAAUAGCAACAAAAAUUUCUAACAGUAUCCUUAUUACUAAAAUCUAAUUGGAAAAAAAAAUGUAAGUUUUUUUUUUUUUUGGAUUUUUUCAAAAAUACAACAAAUUCAAAAGUCAAUCUAAAGGAAGGAAUUUGAAAUUUUUAGAGUGAAAACAUCUAAGGGAGUCAUGUUCUUUGAUUUAUUUGUGAUUCUAUGGGAACAUUUUGGUUCUUUGAUUUAUUUGUGAUUCUAUGGGAACAUUUUGGUUCUUUGAUUUAUUUGUGAUUCUAUGGGAACAUUUUGGUUCUUUGAUUUAUUUGUGAUUCUAUGGGAACAUUUUGGAACAAUCUGAAUAAUUGCUCAAUGGUCACUUGCGUGAUUAUUUGGAAUAUUUACCUAUAUACUACAACCUUGUAAAUCAAUAAAAUAAAACAUGAAUGCUAAUAGGAUUUUAAAAUUGACAUUAUUGUUAGAGGAUCCCCAAUAAUGACGUUAAUUUGAUUUAUUGUCUCACACAAGUCUAAAAAGAACUAAUAAAAAUUGUAGUUUAUAGAAGUGACACUUGAGUUGUAUCGCAUAAACUCCUAAUUCAAUUGACUAAAUUUAUAAUGAAUAAAGUUAUAAAGUGGACUUUUCGAGUUUGCACGAUUUUAAGAAAAUUCGAUAAAAAUGUGUUUGAGUACAAAUCUAUUGAUCUGCUAAAUCGUCAACUCUGACCUAUCAGUUCUAUAAUUCAAUCUCUAAUUUCAAUUUUAUUCACUACUACAAAAAAAAAUACAUUUUAUGACAAGGUAAAUAAUAGGCACGCCACAUUUUAAAUUUAAAAAAAAUAAGUUACAUACUCCCUCAGUUGAACUGCCAACCUAGUAAAAAAGUAUACAGGGAACACGUCUUUGAAUCCAAACAACUGUAUUUUAGCAACUUUUAAUAUUUUAUAUUUUUGUUUAUGGCCUAUUACCUCAGGUGAGCUGACAAUCGAGGGAAAAAAUAUUAAUGGAACACGCCUUCAAAUUUUAGCACCUUUUAUUUUAUUUAUAUUUUAAUUUAUGACCUAUUACUUUGGUUGAGCUAUCAACCGAAGGGAAAAGUACUAGGGGACACACCUUCCAAUACCAGCAACUACAUUUUAGCAGGGCCGGUCCCGACUUUUUAGAGGCCCGGGACAAAUAAAUAAAUGGGCCCAUAAUAAAAAACACGUGUAUAAUUCGCCUCCAAAAUGAAGAAGAAUCUCGGAGACAAGAUAAAAAAUAUGAAGUCUUGAUUAUUUCGAACAAUAAAAAUAAUUUCAAUGUAGAUAAGUAGCCAUAUGCAAAUCAUUAAGAAUUCAAAAUCAAAAUAUAAUUAACUGAAUUAAGAAUGAGAAUCUUUAGAUUGCUUUAAGUGUUCCAUUUUCUAUGUAACAUCCACCCUCUCAAAUAAUUGCAAUUGACGUUUUCUCUGAAAAAUCAAAUCAUAUGGCUAAAAAAUGUAGGAGUAGGGGUAAACCAUGUCCUGACCAUAAUAGGCAGGUUUACUUGAUUGAUAAAUAAUUUAUGGUGAAUUCUUAUCAACCCAACUCAAAAAGUUGGGUAAAGUUACCUCCUUUGUAAAAUGCUUUGAAAAUAACAAACAUUUAUAGUAUUUUAAUAUUUUAAUAAAUAAUUAAAUGUAUUAAAUGAGAUGAAAUCAUGUGAUUGGUUGGAGGUACACUACCCAACUUUUUGUGAUG
Long non-coding RNA from Vicia villosa (hairy vetch), 5351 nucleotides. RefSeq lists it as uncharacterized. The record is from RefSeq and is a predicted model, not a curated record. The transcript is spliced from 5 exons. Lineage: Eukaryota; Viridiplantae; Streptophyta; Magnoliopsida; Fabales; Fabaceae.